RNAcentral lists this ribosomal RNA (450 nucleotides) under uncultured Glomeromycotina. Its description in RNAcentral is "SSU rRNA". It matches the Rfam family "Eukaryotic small subunit ribosomal RNA", at positions 569 to 1022 of the family's 1831-position model. Lineage: Eukaryota; Fungi; Glomeromycota. The record is from RNAcentral.
AGCAGCCGCGGUAAUUCCAGCUCCAAUAGCGUAUAUUAAAGUUGUUGCAGUUAAAAAGCUCGUAGUUGAACUUCGGGGUUUACCCAUUGGUCAGGUUUAAUUAUCUGUACUGGUGAGAUAAAUCUCUACCUUCUGAGGAACUUUCAUGCCAUUCAUUUGGUGUGGGAGGAAAUCAGGACUGUUACUUUGAAAAAUUAGAGUGUUUAAAGCAGGCUAACGUCUGAAUACAUUAGCAUGGAAUAAUGAAAUAGGACGGACUGAUUCUAUUUCGUUGGUUUCUAGGAUCACCGUAAUGAUUAAUAGGGAUAGUUGGGGGCAUUAGUAUUCAAUUGUCAGAGGUGAAAUUCUUGGAUUUAUUGAAGACUAACUACUGCGAAAGCAUUUGCCAAGGAUGUUUUCAUUAAUCAAGAACGAAAGUUAGGGGAUCGAAGACGAUCAGAUACCGUCGUA